GUAACCCAUCGGAUACAUCUCUAAAAAGAAAUAUACUAACAGUCACGUCAAGUGAUACUACUCAAUAGCUACACGGGGCAUGUAUGUGUGUGUUUAUAUAUAUAUAUAUAUAUAUAUAUAUAUAUGUUUGUGUAUAAAGGUACUCUUUUUUUUUAUCAAUUAAUUUGCAUAUCACAAACCUGUGGUAGUUAUGAAACAAUUACUGUUGAACUCUGACUCACGCUAUGCGUGCUAUUUAAUACGAGCCGAUAUGUAGAAAAUAUAAAAGGUGUUUGUUGUGACUUGGCUGUCCCUUGAACUCAAUUACCCAUCUCCCAUUUCCUCUGGGGAUGUCAUAGCUCUCAGCGGCCAUCUUAUAGUAGCAUGAGUGGGCGUAAAAGUAUCACUCCCAUAGUUAAAGUGGAACUGACAGCGUUUUAACUACUUUGCGGAUAUGAAACAAACAGACUAUCACAAUAUCAGUAAAAAAUAUACAAUUCCCAGUUUAUGCUACAAAACCAUGAUAAGAAGUUUUAAAAAUAGGUUGUAUUUGACUCAACAUUCCAUGAUGUACACAAAGGCAUUGUUGGUAGAAUGGAUGGAUGCAGUUCAAUACAUGUUUCAUAUAAUUCACCAAUACAUUUCUUGGUAGUCCAAAAAAUAUUGCUAUCAGGUUGUUACAUUGUUUGCUGCCUCCAUUCGGGAUGCACUGUUUCAGUUUCAAUUAUAUUUUGGACAAAAACAGACAUGUAACUAAGGUUGGGAACGUCAAUACAACCGAACUAGCAAAGGCAAUGAUCACAAGUCAGUCAUAAUAGGCUAGCGUAUCUAUUUAUGUAGCAACCUAAAAACACGGAGCCUAACGUUAGCUAGCAAGCUAACUGCUAGGAGGGUGACAUGUCAUGCCAUUGGAGGAGUGGGUGAGUGACUGACAUUUUUCCCUCAUAUACAUAGAGAUGCAGGUGUCAUUUGGUUAGCUAGUGAGAACUUGAACGACUGUUAUCCAGUUAGCAUAUCUCUUGCAUUCAUAAAUUCUCAGAUAACAUGUAAACAGCCUAACCAGCUCUGCUAUGGUGAAUAAAAUAGUCAGAGCAAAGUGUUUAUUUUUGUCUGAAAAUAGCUAGCUAGCAAGCUAACCAACUUUAGCCAGUUAGCUUGGGUGCUUGGUUGGGACAAGCAUGCAUUGGCAGGCAAGCUGCAGAAAGACGAGUAGGCUACAAUUCCUCAUUGUUUAUAGGUGCAAUUUUGACGGCCAACAAAGAGGUUUUAUCUAAUGUUCCCUCGUUAGAUUUUAGCUUAUCUCGUCCUGGCUAACAUUAGUUGUUGAUCUUGUUGUUGUUAAUGUGCAUAUGGAGGGAGAGAGAGCCUACCAUUUCAUGGUUGUUUGAUCAAUAGGACUGUAAUGUUCCCAAAUGUAAGAGGACUCCAGUGGUAUUUACAUGUUAGCAGAAAUCCAUUCAGGUGUAUUUAGUGGCUUUUGGCGAAUGCGUUCUAAUGAUGUAAAGUCGUGCUGUUUUAGCCGCCUGUAAACACACAGUCCAGUUCCAAGUGAAUGAUUGCAGGCCCAUGUGGCAAAUGGCGUGUUUGUAUAAAUGCCUACUGUAGCUCUGAUUGGCUAUAGCGCACCACUCUGUGUAGACUCCGGUCUUGGAUGGGACAGAUGUUUUAUUUACUGCCGUGUCUAUUAAUUGUCCAAACGCACAGCCGCUUCCCCACUUCAUAUUUCUAUAGCAUUUUCACAUACCUUAGUAUAUGUGACUCCCAAAAACUCUAAGAAUUUAUUCAAAGGUGCUCGCUUGUCAGAAAACUUUUAAAAGCGUGUGAUAUUCUUCCUGGGGGUGUAUAUGAACAGAUUUUGAUAUGAUUUCAUGUUGCCAAAAUGCUGUCAAUUCCACUUUAAUGCAUAUUGCAAUUGGUGGACAAAAUCCAUGGUAGUUAGUCAAGGCCAUUAUGGAGGAUAUUGUUGUGAAAUUUACAUGUUUGUUAACUUUUUUUUCAUGAAUGCAACUUUUGUUAUUCUCACUGUAAAUAUACAUUGUUGUCCUAUCUCUAGUGAUAAGCUACAGUGAUAAGCUACAGCUACGGUAUUUCCCAACUCAACAUGGCACUUGACUGAAUUACACAUUUCAUUCACAAGAAACUCUUUCUUCCUCUUUACCCAAUAAGAUACACAGCCCAGAGAGCUGAAGGGUUUAGCACUAUCUGGUCUAACAAUACUGUGGGUGUGGGUGGGUGUCCGUCCUAUCGCUCUUCCCUCCUCAGAGACAGCAAAGACAACUGCCCCCAAUUUAACCCCAGCUGUCCCCACCCACCCAACCUCACCUCGUCACAAUCCACAACAAGCCUCAAGGGUCAGGGUUCACUAAGCCCUGCCACCCACCCCCCCAUCAUGCCCGCUGUGUGUCAGUCAUGUCUUUCCAGACCCCCCCAUCAUCCCCACAUACACACAGUCUAACACGUGUAGCUGUGUGUGUCAGUCAUGUCUUUCCAGACCCCCCCCUCCCCACAUACACACAGUCUAACACGUGUAGCUAUGUGUGUCAGUCAUGUCUUUCCAGACCCCCCCCCCCACAUACACACAGUCUAACACGUGUAGCUAUGUGUGUCAGUCAUGUCUUUCCAGACCCCCCCCCCCCCCACAUACACACAGUCUAACACGUGUAGCUGUGUGUCAGUCAUGUCUUUCCAGACCCCCCCCCUCCCCACAUACACACAGUCUAACACGUGUAGCUAUGUGUGUCAGUCAUGUCUUUCCAGACCCCCCUCCCC
This is a long non-coding RNA of Oncorhynchus tshawytscha (Chinook salmon), 2748 nucleotides long. The record is from Ensembl. Lineage: Eukaryota; Metazoa; Chordata; Actinopteri; Salmoniformes; Salmonidae.